UGGGGAAUUUUGGACAAUGGGCGAAAGCCUGAUCCAGCAACGCCGCGUGUGUGAAGAAGGCCUUCGGGUUGUAAAGCACUUUUGUCCGGAAAGAAAUCCUUGGCUCUAAUACAGUCGGGGGAUGACGGUACCGGAAGAAUAAGCACCGGCUAACUACGUGCCAGCAGCCGCGGUAAUACGUAGGGUGCAAGCGUUAAUCGGAAUUACUGGGCGUAAAGCGUGCGCAGGCGGUUUGCUAAGACCGAUGUGAAAUCCCCGGGCUCAACCUGGGAACUGCAUUGGUGACUGGCAGGCUAGAGUAUGGCAGAGGGGGGUAGAAUUCCACGUGUAGCAGUGAAAUGCGUAGAGAUGUGGAGGAAUACCGAUGGCGAAGGCAGCCCCCUGGGCCAAUACUGACGCUCAUGCACGAAAGCGUGGGGAGCAAACAGGAUUAGAUACCCUGGUAGUCCACGCCCUAAACGAUGUCAACUAGUUGUUGGGGAUUCAUUUCCUUAGUAACGUAGCUAACGCGUGAAGUUGACCGCCUGGGGAGUACGGUCGCAAGAUUAAAACUCAAAUGAAUUGACGGGGUCAUAGCUGUUUCCU
Molecule: ribosomal RNA, 585 nt
Filed under: uncultured bacterium
Lineage: Bacteria
Description: partial 16S ribosomal RNA
Rfam family: Bacterial small subunit ribosomal RNA
Source: RNAcentral